AAUGAACGCUGGCGGCGUGUCUAACACAUGCAAGUCGAACGCGAAAGUCCGCAAGGACCAGUAGAGUGGCGCACGGGUGAGUAAUACAUAAGAAUCUACCCUUUUGUGAAGAAUACCCUUGAGAAAUCAAGGUUAAUACUGCAUAAGUCGAGUAAUCGAGAAAGGUGGCCUCUAGCUACCGCAGAAGGAAGAGCUUGUGUCCUAUCAGCUAGUUGGUGGGGUAAAGGCCUACCAAGGCAAGGACGGGUAGUCGGCCUGAGAGGGUGUACGACCACAAUGGGACUGAGACACGGCCCAUACUCCUACGGGAGGCAGCAGUGGGGAAUAUUGCACAAUGGGCGAAAGCCUGAUGCAGCGACGCCGCGUGGAGGAUGAAGGUCUUCGGAUUGUAAACUCCUGUUGAGUGGGAAGAAAGACGGCUGGUUAAUACCCAGUUGGGAUGACGGUACCACUCGAGGAAGCACCGGCAAACUUCGUGCCAGCAGCCGCGGUAAUACGAAGGGUG
Molecule: ribosomal RNA, 505 nt
Filed under: uncultured bacterium
Lineage: Bacteria
Description: bacterial SSU rRNA
Rfam family: Bacterial small subunit ribosomal RNA
Source: RNAcentral